RNAcentral lists this ribosomal RNA (557 nucleotides) under uncultured bacterium. Its description in RNAcentral is "partial 16S ribosomal RNA". It matches the Rfam family "Bacterial small subunit ribosomal RNA", at positions 355 to 900 of the family's 1533-position model. The record is from RNAcentral.
UGGGGAAUAUUGCACAAUGGGCGCAAGCCUGAUGCAGCCAUGCCGCGUGUGUGAAGAAGGCCUUCGGGUUGUAAAGCACUUUCAGCGAGGAGGAAGGUGGUGAGCUUAAUACGCUCAUCAAUUGACGUUACUCGCAGAAGAAGCACCGGCUAACUCCGUGCCAGCAGCCGCGGUAAUACGGAGGGUGCAAGCGUUAAUCGGAAUUACUGGGCGUAAAGCGCACGCAGGCGGUUUGUUAAGUCAGAUGUGAAAUCCCCGGGCUCAACCUGGGAACUGCAUUUGAAACUGGCAAGCUAGAGUCUCGUAGAGGGGGGUAGAAUUCCAGGUGUAGCGGUGAAAUGCGUAGAGAUCUGGAGGAAUACCGGUGGCGAAGGCGGCCCCCUGGACGAAGACUGACGCUCAGGUGCGAAAGCGUGGGGCAGCAAACAGGAUUAGAUACCCUGGUAGUCCAGCGCUGUAAACGAUGUCGAUUUUGGAGGUUGUGCCCUUGAGGCGUGGCUUCCGGAGCUAACGCGUUAAAGUCGACCGCCUGGGGAGUACGGCCGCAAGGUUAAAAC